Molecule: ribosomal RNA, 380 nt
Filed under: uncultured eukaryote
Lineage: Eukaryota
Description: partial 18S ribosomal RNA
Rfam family: Eukaryotic small subunit ribosomal RNA
Source: RNAcentral
CAAUAGCGUAUAUUAAAGUUGUUGCGGUUAAAAAGCUCGUAGUUGGAGUUCUGCCAGGUGCCGCCUGUCCGCCCCAGUGGUGAGUACGUGGCGCGCAUUUGGCCCUUUCAAGGGGAGCGUAUCUGCACUUUAUUGUGUGGUGCGGGAUCCUUGACUUUUACUUUGAGGAAAUAGGAGUGUUCCAAGCAGGCUCUCGUCGUGCACAGCUCAGCAUGGAAUAAUAGCAUUGGACCUCGAUUCUAAGCUGUUGGUUGCCAGAAGCGAGGUAAUGAUGAAGAGGGAUAGUUGGGGGCAUUCGUAUUUAACUGUCAGAGGUGAAAUUCUUGGAUUUGUUAAAGACAGACUACUGCGAAAGCAUCUGCCAGGGAUGUUUUCAUUGA